ACCGGCAUGGCGCGGUCAGUAGCGCACCGUCUGAUAAGACGGAGGUCAAUGGUGCAAAUCCAUUUGCUGGUACCA
This 75-nucleotide transfer RNA is filed under the name Oscillospiraceae bacterium. RNAcentral's name for it is "tRNA-Ile". It matches the Rfam family "tRNA". Rfam says of the family: Transfer RNA (tRNA) molecules are approximately 80 nucleotides in length. Their secondary structure includes four short double-helical elements and three loops (D, anti-codon, and T loops). The record is from RNAcentral. Lineage: Bacteria; Bacillati; Bacillota; Clostridia; Eubacteriales; Oscillospiraceae.